RNAcentral lists this ribosomal RNA (513 nucleotides) under uncultured bacterium. RNAcentral describes it as "partial 16S ribosomal RNA". It matches the Rfam family "Bacterial small subunit ribosomal RNA", at positions 28 to 523 of the family's 1533-position model. The record is from RNAcentral.
GACGAACGCUGGCGGCAUGCCUAAUACAUGCAAGUCGAGCGAACAGAUGAAGUGCUUGCACUUCUGACGUUAGCGGCGAAUGGGUGAGUAACACGUAAGGAAUCUGCCUAUAAGCGGGGGAUAACAUUCGGAGACGGGUGCUAAUGCCGCAUAAUAUCUUCUUCCGCAUGGAAGAAGAUUGAGAGACGGCUCUGCUGUCACUUAUAGAUGACCUUGCGGUGCAUUAGUUAGUUGGUGGGGUAAUGGCCUACCAAGACAAUGAUGCAUAGCCGACCUGAGAGGGUGAUCGGCCACAUUGGGACUGAGACACGGCCCAAACUCCUAAGGGAGGCAGCAGUAGGGAAUCUUCCGCAAUGGGCGAAAGCCUGACGGAGCAAUGCCGCGUGAGUGAAGAAGGCCUUCGGGUCGUAAAACUCUGUUAUAAGAGAAGAACAAAUUGUAGAGUAACUGCUACAGUCUUGACGGUAUCUUAUCAGAAAGCCACGGCUAACUACGUGCCAGCAGCCGCGGUAA